UUACAAUGGAGAGUUUGAUCCUGGCUCAGGAUGAACGCUAGCGGCAGGCCUAAUACAUGCAAGUCGAACG
This 70-nucleotide ribosomal RNA is filed under the name Algoriphagus zhangzhouensis. Its description in RNAcentral is "partial 16S ribosomal RNA". It matches the Rfam family "Bacterial small subunit ribosomal RNA", at positions 1 to 68 of the family's 1533-position model. Lineage: Bacteria; Pseudomonadati; Bacteroidota; Cytophagia; Cytophagales; Cyclobacteriaceae. The record is from RNAcentral.